UAAAAACCUGCAGAGAAAUGUUUCCUCGCCUCUCCCUUCCUGGCCUCCUGUGGCUAAACCCCACCUCUGCUGCAGAGGAUGUCAUACAAGAGUGAACAAGACCGAAGACUUUGGAGGUAUACAGACCAGCAAGGUUCAACUCCUACUCCUGCACUUUCUACUUUUGCAGGGUUAGGUGAAUCCUCUCUCCAAGCUCUGUAUCCUUAUCAGUAGAAUAAGGAUAAACAUACCUGCCUUGCAGGGCUGUUUGAAGAAUAACUGAGAAAAACACAAACAGUCUGUGAUCACUCACACAACUCCAGGUACUAUCAGAACUGAAAUCUAAGUCCUCUGAUUGCCAACCAGUUCCCCUUUUCCCAUUUGAAGAUGCGUUUGUACCUCCCUUCUAAUUGAGGUCCCUCCUGUCCUCACUUCCUACUCGGAGGUGGUAUUUUCCAGACUCCCAGACAGACAUGCCCAUGUGAGGGAUGCAAGCCUAACUUUGAGCAGCGCUGAUGGCCAAUCACCAACACAAGCAUGAAAUUCUGUGGUGGGGCAGCUUGUCAGUAAUUUGAAAACCCGUGAAGACGCUGGAAAUGGAAGAUUGUUGUGUGCUCUGCAGAGUAGAAAGGGAAGAGCUUCUAUUCCUGAUGUUGGCAGAAAGAACCGCAGGGGCCAUGCUGGCUCCGGGAGAAAUGGGGCGUCAUCUGGAGACCAGUCAACACUCAUUCGCCACCUCCAGUCUCUAAACAAGAUGGAAACUGGCAGCCCUCAAACAUGUUUCACUUGGCCCACACAUUGGUUUUGAAAAUUCAUAU
RNAcentral lists this long non-coding RNA (797 nucleotides) under Equus caballus (horse). RNAcentral's name for it is "lncRNA (ENSECAG00000052106.1)". Lineage: Eukaryota; Metazoa; Chordata; Mammalia; Perissodactyla; Equidae. The record is from RNAcentral.